Molecule: transfer RNA, 62 nt
Filed under: Dipodomys ordii (Ord's kangaroo rat)
Lineage: Eukaryota; Metazoa; Chordata; Mammalia; Rodentia; Heteromyidae
Source: Rfam by way of RNAcentral
UAUAGCUCAGUGGUAGAGCACUUGCCAAGUAUGAAUUCAACUCCUGGGUUUGAUUCCCAGUA